AUAUGCUUGUUCCAAAGCUUAAGCCAUGCAUGUCUAAGAACAAUCGAUCUCAGUGAAUCUGCGAACGGCUCCGUAUAUCUGUGGUCACCCGCCGCCCUCCGCCCGGAGGGGACGCAAUUCCCCCCUCCGGCAGCGGAUAACCACGGUAAUUCUGCGGCUAAUACGUGUACGAAGCGAGGGGCGUCUGCGUAUGCGGUCGCCUCCGGCCUUGCCGCCCAUCUAAGGCGCGGGCUUCGGCCCUCCGGCUUGAUGCAGGCAAGUUGCCCUACCGGUCACCUCGUGGCUGGAGUAGGCGCCGGACUUCAGACCUAUCAACUAUACGGCUUGGGCGAGUCCCUCCGUGGUUGCGACGGGUACAGAGGAUCAGGGUUCGGUCCUGGAGAGGUAGCCUGAGAGAUCGCUACUACUUCUAAGGAAGGCAGCAGGCGCGCAACGUUCCCAAUGGGGACACCCUGAGGACGUGACGGAAUAUAUCAAUGCUCCACCUAUAAAAGUGGGGCAAUUGAAAUGGGGACUAGCCAAACCCCUUACCGAGUAACGAUUGGAGGACAAGUCUGGUGCCAGCACCCGCGGUAAUUCCAGCUCCAAUAGCAUCUAGUUAAGUUGUUGCAGUUAAAACGCUCGUAGUCCAAGUUGGUGCGUACGCCGCCCGACUAGUAGCGGCCGGCACAGCGUCCCCCCUCUUCUGGGGCCGGGCGCUCCCCGGCUGUCAACCUCGGGAGCUCGGGCGUACCACUAUACUUGCCGGAGCCUUAAAGCCGCUGGCGGUCCUUCAGUGGUCCGCCUCCUGGCCUCCGGCGCUUUACUUUGAGUAAAUGUGAGCGCUCCACGCAGGCCACUUUGGCCCUUGCAACCCGCAGCAAAGAAUAAUCUUACGGGCCCCCUCAGAUUGCGCCUAGCGAGGGGGGGGCCAAUCGAUCGAUGGGUUGGAUCGGGGUGGGCCACAUGGCGGGGUUAGGGGUGAAAUCCAUUGAUCCUCGCCAGGUGAUCGAACGCGAAAGCAGCCCACAAGUACCUCUCUAUUGAUCAAGAACGAAAGUCUGGGGAUCGAAGAUGAUUAGAUACCAUCGUAGUCCAGACCCUAAACGAUGCCGGCCACGGAUGGGCCGCCGUCCAUAUCGACCCAGUCCGAACCUUACGGGAAACCAUAAGCGUUUGGGCUCUGGGGGGAGUAUGGUCGCAAGGCUGAAACUUAAAGGAAUUGACGGAAGAUCACACAAGGAGUGGAGCCUGCGGCUUAAUUUGACUCAACACGGGGAAACUCACUAGGGCAAGAGGGGGGGGUGAUCGACAGCUAAGCAGGGCUUUCUUGAUUCCCCCAGUGGUGGUGCAUGGUCGUUCUUAGUUCGUGGAUUGAUUUGUCUGGUCUAUUCCGUUAACGAGCGAGAACCUGCCCUUCGUUGUUCGGUCCUUGGGCUAGCCAGGACUGCUGGCGCAAGUCGGCGGUCUAGGCGUCGCGCCCCUGGGUACCCUUGCAUACUGGAGGGAUCGGUAGCGAGAAGUUGCCGGAAGUUGGUCAAUAACAGGUCAGUGAUGCCCUUAGAUGCUCUAGGCUGCACGCGCGCUACAAUGGGGGUGGCAACGGGUGCCUGCGCCUAACCGGCGGCGGGUAAUCCGCCGAAACACCCUCGUAUCUGGGACCGAGCCAUGUAAGCUGGCUCGCAAACAAGGAAUUUCUAGUAGUCGUGGG
Molecule: ribosomal RNA, 1690 nt
Filed under: Perichaena corticalis
Lineage: Eukaryota; Evosea; Eumycetozoa; Trichiida; Trichiidae
Description: SSU rRNA
Rfam family: Eukaryotic small subunit ribosomal RNA
Source: RNAcentral